Molecule: ribosomal RNA, 217 nt
Filed under: uncultured bacterium
Lineage: Bacteria
Description: partial 16S ribosomal RNA
Rfam family: Bacterial small subunit ribosomal RNA
Source: RNAcentral
GAUGAACGCUAGCGGCAGGCUUAAUACAUGCAAGUCGAGGGGCAGCAGUCCCGCAGCAAUGCGGGAGCUGGCGACCGGCAAACGGGUGCGGAACACGUACAGAACCUUCCUUCGAGCGGGGAAUAGCCCAGAGAAAUUUGGAUUAAUACCCCAUAGCAUUACGAAGUGGCACCACUUUGUAAUUAAAGAUUAUCACUCGAAGAUGGCUGUGCGGCUG